RNAcentral lists this ribosomal RNA (253 nucleotides) under uncultured bacterium. RNAcentral describes it as "partial 16S ribosomal RNA". It matches the Rfam family "Bacterial small subunit ribosomal RNA", at positions 524 to 776 of the family's 1533-position model. The record is from RNAcentral.
UACGUAGGGUGCAAGCGUUGUCCGGAAUUAUUGGGCGUAAAGAGCUCGUAGGCGGUUUGUCGCGUCUGCUGUGAAAACUCGGGGCUUAACUCCGGGCCUGCAGUGGGUACGGGCAGACUAGAGUGCGGUAGGGGAGACUGGAAUUCCUGGUGUAGCGGUGAAAUGCGCAGAUAUCAGGAGGAACACCGGUGGCGAAGGCGGGUCUCUGGGCCGUAACUGACGCUGAGGUGCGAAAGCAUGGGGAGCGAACAGG